GACGAACGCUGGCGGCGUGCUUAACACAUGCAAGUCGAACGGUGAACGAGGGAGCUUGCUCCCUCCGGAUCAGUGGCGAACGGGUGAGUAACACGUGAGCAAUCUGCCCCGAACUCUGGGAUAAGCGUUGGAAACGACUUCUAAUACCGGAUACCACGCGGGAGGGCAUCCUCUCCGCGUGGACAGACCUUCGGGUAGGGAUGAGCUCGCGGCCUCUCAGCUUGUUGGUGAGGUAACGGAUCACCAAGGCGACGACGGGUAGCCGGCCUGAGAGGGUGACCGGACAGACUGGGAAUGAGAAACGGCACAGACUCCAGCGGGAGGCAGCAGUGGGGAAUAUUGCACAAUGGGAGCAAGCCUGAUGCAGCAACGCCGCGUGAGGGACGACGGCCUUCGGGUUGUAAACCUUUUUUAGCAGGGAAGAAGCGAAAGUGACGGUACCUGAAGAAAAAGCACGGGCUAACUAAGUG
This 470-nucleotide ribosomal RNA is filed under the name uncultured bacterium. Its description in RNAcentral is "partial 16S ribosomal RNA". It matches the Rfam family "Bacterial small subunit ribosomal RNA", at positions 28 to 507 of the family's 1533-position model. The record is from RNAcentral.